Molecule: ribosomal RNA, 253 nt
Filed under: uncultured bacterium
Lineage: Bacteria
Description: partial 16S ribosomal RNA
Rfam family: Bacterial small subunit ribosomal RNA
Source: RNAcentral
GACGAAGGGGGCUAGCGUUGUUCGGAAUCACUGGGCUUAAAGGGCGCGUAGGCGGCCGCACAAGUCAGGGGUGAAAUCUUUCGGCUCAACCGGAAAAGUGCCUCUGAUACUGUGCGGCUCGAGGGAGGUAGGGGCGGACGGAACUUCCGGUGGAGCGGUGAAAUGCGUUGAUAUCGGAAGGAACGCCGGUGGCGAAAGCGGUCCGCUGGCCCUCUACUGACGCUGAGGCGCGAAAGCCAGGGGAGCAAACGGG